CAGGCUUAACACAUGCAAGUCGAGGGGCAUCAGGAAGAAAGCUUGCUUUCUUUGCUGGCGACCGGCGCACGGGUGAGUAACACGUAUCCAACCUGCCCUUUACUCGGGGAUAGCCUUUCGAAAGAAAGAUUAAUACCCGAUAGCAUAAUGAUUCCGCAUGGUUUCAUUAUUAAAGGAUUCCGGUAAAGGAUGGGGAUGCGUUCCAUUAGGUUGUUGGUGGGGUAACGGCCCACCAAGCCUUCGAUGGAUAGGGGUUCUGAGAGGAAGGUCCCCCACAUUGGAACUGAGACACGGUCCAAACUCCUACGGGAGGCAGCAGUGAGGAAUAUUGGUCAAUGGGCGCUAGCCUGAACCAGCCAAGUAGCGUGAAGGAUGAAGGCUCUAUGGGUCGUAAACUUCUUUUAUAUAAGAAUAAAGUGCAGUAUGUAUACUGUUUUGUAUGUAUUAUAUGAAUAAGGAUCGGCUAACUCCGUGCCAGCAGCCGCGGUAAUACGGAGGAUCCGAGCGUUAUCCGGAUUUAUUGGGUUUAAAGGGAGCGUAGGUGGACUGGUAAGUCAGUUGUGAAAGUUUGCGGCUCAACCGUAAAAUUGCAGUUGAUACUGUCAGUCUUGAGUACAGUAGAGGUGGGCGGAAUUCGUGGUGUAGCGGUGAAAUGCUUAGAUAUCACGAAGAACUCCGAUUGCGAAGGCAGCUCACUGGACUGCAACUGACACUGAUGCUCGAAAGUGUGGGUAUCAAACAGGAUUAGAUACCCUGGUAGUCCACACAGUAAACGAUGAAUACUCGCUGUUUGCGAUAUACAGUAAGCGGCCAAGCGAAAGCAUUAAGUAUUCCACCUGGGGAGUACGCCGGCAACGGUGAAACUCAAAGGAAUUGACGGGGGCCCGCACAAGCGGAGGAACAUGUGGUUUAAUUCGAUGAUACGCGAGGAACCUUACCCGGGCUUAAAUUGCAGUGGAAUGAUGUGGAAACAUGUCAGUGAGCAAUCACCGCUGUGAAGGUGCUGCAUGGUUGUCGUCAGCUCGUGCCGUGAGGUGUCGGCUUAAGUGCCAUAACGAGCGCAACCCUUAUCUUUAGUUACUAACAGGUUAUGCUGAGGACUCUAGAGAGACUGCCGUCGUAAGAUGUGAGGAAGGUGGGGAUGACGUCAAAUCAGCACGGCCCUUACGUCCGGGGCUACACACGUGUUACAAUGGGGGGUACAGAAGGCAGCUAGCGGGUGACCGUAUGCUAAUCCCAAAAUCCUCUCUCAGUUCGGAUCGAAGUCUGCAACCCGACUUCGUGAAGCUGGAUUCGCUAGUAAUCGCGCAUCAGCCACGGCGCGGUGAAUACGUUCCCGGGCCUUGUACACACCGCCCGUCAAGCCAUGGGAGCCGGGGGUACCUGAAGUACGUAACCGCAAGGAUCGUCCUAGGGUAAAACUGGUGACUGGGGC
This 1435-nucleotide ribosomal RNA is filed under the name uncultured organism. Its description in RNAcentral is "16S ribosomal RNA". It matches the Rfam family "Bacterial small subunit ribosomal RNA". The record is from RNAcentral.